UCCAAUGGACUUUUUUUCAAGGGCAUAUGUUUCCUCACACUUAUUCUCAGAUAAAACUUUUUCCAAGUUUUUUUUUUUUUUUAUAUCCAUGAAACUUGGAAAAACUUUUAUCUGAGAACAAGUGUGAGGAAACAUAUGCCCUUGAAAAAAGUCCAUUGGA
Molecule: non-coding RNA, 160 nt
Organism: Pelobates cultripes (western spadefoot toad)
Lineage: Eukaryota; Metazoa; Chordata; Amphibia; Anura; Pelobatidae
Source: the annotation of a GenBank genome assembly